Molecule: long non-coding RNA, 451 nt
Filed under: Hordeum vulgare
Lineage: Eukaryota; Viridiplantae; Streptophyta; Magnoliopsida; Poales; Poaceae
Description: long non-coding RNA (HVUL_LNC018447)
Source: RNAcentral
GGUUUUGUUUGCAUUAGAAAAAACUGCUACAGACUAGGAACUGAUAGACUUUUGAAAAAAUUGAUUCGUAAACGAUGGACUACAGUUUCUAUCGAAUGAGAUGGGCAUGAGUACGUUUUAAUUAAUUAAUAACAUGGGCUUGAGAUUACCAUGAACUAGGCUGUGACUUGCCGGAAGAUCUGCCGGCGGCAGCGGACAAGACGUUGCGCUAGUAGCGUCGGUGGUGCCUCCAUGACCUACUCCCAUGCAGGCUGCAAGGUCUCAGCCGGAACAACGAUUGAAAAAGGGCAAGGUCGAGUGGCGGCCGCCAUAAACUAUUUUUGCUUGGAUGAAGAAGAUCGUGUGUUGAUUGACGAACAUGCGAAGAGACGUUGCGGCACUGGAUCCAUUCGUCUUUGCUGGGACGACCAAGCAGUCACGCAUACCUAGGAGCGCAGGCCCUCCAUACGGG